ACUGCUGCGGGGGCCGCGGGGGGCGCAGCUGGGGCGCGGCUCGGAGGGGAGGCUAGGGGGCCGUGCCAGGCCCGAAGCCGAGGCGGGGCCGGGAUGCGGCGCUGAGGCCCAGCAUGGCCGGCCCGGGCCCCACCUUCCCGCUGCACCGGCUCGUCUGGGCGAACCGGCAUCGCGAACUGGAGGCCGCACUGCACAGCCACCAGCACGACAUUGAACAGGAGGACCCCCGCGGGCGGACCCCACUGGAGCUGGCCGUGUCUCUGGGAAACCUGGAGUCUGUGAGAGUGCUCCUUCGACACAAUGCCAACGUGGGCAAAGAGAACCUCCAGGGCUGGGCAGUCCUGCAGGAGGCAGUCAGCACUGGAGACCCCGAGAUGGUGCAGCUGGUGCUCCAGUAUCGGGACUACCAGAGGGCCACGCAGAGGCUGGCGGGCAUUCCGGAACUGCUCAACAAACUUCGCCAGGUACAGCAGGGCACAGUUAUGGAGGUGGGGUACCAUGGCAGGGCACCACCCUGGUUACUGUGCCAGGCCUGGCCUUGGAAAGGCACCCAGUUUG
RNAcentral lists this small RNA (558 nucleotides) under Pan troglodytes (chimpanzee). RNAcentral describes it as "retained intron". The record is from RNAcentral. Lineage: Eukaryota; Metazoa; Chordata; Mammalia; Primates; Hominidae.